Molecule: ribosomal RNA, 301 nt
Filed under: uncultured bacterium
Lineage: Bacteria
Description: partial 16S ribosomal RNA
Rfam family: Bacterial small subunit ribosomal RNA
Source: RNAcentral
CAGCAGCCACGGUAAUACGAAGGGUGCAAGCGUUAAUCGGAAUUACUGGGCGUAAAGCGUGCGUAGGCGGUUUGUUAAGUCUGUUGUGAAAUCCCCGGGCUCAACCUGGGAAUGGCAAUGGAUACUGGCAGGCUAGAGUGUGAUAGAGGAUGGUGGAAUUCCCGGUGUAGCGGUGAAAUGCGUAGAGAUCGGGAGGAACAUCAGUGGCGAAGGCGGCCAUCUGGAUCAACACUGACGCUGAGGCACGAAAGCGUGGGGAGCAAACAGGAUUAGAUACCCGAGUAGUCCCUGUCUCUUAUAC